GAUGAACGCUGGCGGCGUGCCUAAUACAUGCCAGUCGAGCGAACAGACGAGGAGCUUGCUCCUCUGACGUUAGCGGCGGACGGGUGAGUAACACGUGUAUAACCUACCUAUAAGACGGGGAUAACUUCGGGAAACCGGAGCUAAUACCGGAUAAUAUAUUGAACCGCAUGGUUCAAUAGUGAAAGACGGUUUUGCUGUCACUUAUAGAUGGAUCCGCGCCGCAUUAGCUAGUUGGUAAGGUAACGGCUUACCAAGGCAACGAUGCGUAGCCGACCGGAGAGGGUGAUCGGCCACCCGGGAAGUGAGACACGGUCCAGACUCCUACGGGAGGCAGCAGUAGGGAAUCUGCCGCAAUGGGCGAAAGCCUGACGGAGCAACCGCGCGUGAGUGAUGAAGGUCUUCGGAUCGUAAAACUCUGUUAUUAGGGAAGAACAAAUGUGGAAGUAACUAUGCACGUCUUGACGGUACCUAAUCAGAAAGCCACGGCUAACUACGUG
This 497-nucleotide ribosomal RNA is filed under the name uncultured bacterium. Its description in RNAcentral is "partial 16S ribosomal RNA". It matches the Rfam family "Bacterial small subunit ribosomal RNA", at positions 28 to 507 of the family's 1533-position model. The record is from RNAcentral.